RNAcentral lists this ribosomal RNA (417 nucleotides) under Triticum aestivum (bread wheat). RNAcentral's name for it is "partial small subunit ribosomal RNA". Lineage: Eukaryota; Viridiplantae; Streptophyta; Magnoliopsida; Poales; Poaceae. The record is from RNAcentral.
AUGAUUUAUAAUUUCUCUUUUGUGUCACAUAGUGUCCUUCUAAUGCCGCACACUACCCGCAGUCCGGCCGAUGAUGAUCUCCCCGCUUCAUCGAGCAGGUCGUUGGCUCCGUCGGAUGUGGAUUCCAUCCCGACUGCCUCCACCUCUCGCGCCGCUGAGGACGCUGAGGUGGGAUCCCAGGAAGGGACCCAUCAGGAGGAGGCUCCGGAGGCGCCGCAAGGCAGCCUCCCGGACAUUGCGCCGGACUCCACGCCGGAACCCGCAGUGGUUCCGGAGUCCGGAAGGCGGCGCCUUCGCAAGAAGGGCAAGACUGUGACGCCAGUGGCCCCGUCCAACCGGAGGCGCCGGACAACUUGCUGGAGGCACUCAAAGGCACUUCCAUCGAGGAAGAACACCGCACUAUUAUGCGUGCGGUGA